ACACUCCAAGACGUGUACUGCUUCUACAAACACGUGUAACCCUUACCUCUCCCACUGAACUAAAUGGUUAAUACCUAAUUCCAUCUCCUCAUUCUCUCGCUUCUCUCCCUUCCUCUCUUACUUACACUUCUCUGUUACUAACUAAUAAAUAAAAGGUCACUUAGGCACAGGCUAUGGAGGCCUAAUUCCAAAUAAUAAUAGAGAAAUGUCACUAAGACGAUAGAUUGUGCAUUAGGAUUUAGGAGUACAAACAUGAGGUAAUCUAUAAGGCAGAGAUCUAUCAUCUGGCAGCACCAAAGUAUUACUACUGUUUGUCUAAAUAAACAGGGAAAAUCAGAUACAAUCCAAACUGGCAUGGAGUUCUUUUUUUGAUCCAUUUUUCUAUUCGGUAUGUAAUGAUGAUUGAAUUAUCUAGCUCAACAAUAAUUACACUUUUGAUCGUGUUUAAAAACUUCUCAAAGGGUUGCAUUAUAGCUAAGAUACCUUUUCGGUUGUAUUUUUCUGUUACAAUAAUUAAUUUAUUGCGUAAUUUCCUUGGUUGCGCA
Molecule: long non-coding RNA, 545 nt
Organism: Nicotiana tabacum (common tobacco)
Lineage: Eukaryota; Viridiplantae; Streptophyta; Magnoliopsida; Solanales; Solanaceae
Source: RefSeq, a predicted model, not a curated record